UACUCGAGUGGCGAACGGGUGAGUAACACGUGGGUGAUCUGCCUUGCACUUCGGGAUAAGCUUGGGAAACUGGGUCUAAUACCGGAUAGGACAGCUGUUUAGUGUCAGUUGUGGAAAGUUUUUUCGGUGCAAGAUGAGCUCGCGGCCUAUCAGCUUGUUGGUGGGGUAAUGGCCUACCAAGGCGUCGACGGGUAGCCGGCCUGAGAGGGUGGACGGCCACAUUGGGACUGAGAUACGGCCCAG
This 243-nucleotide ribosomal RNA is filed under the name uncultured Actinomycetales bacterium. RNAcentral describes it as "partial 16S ribosomal RNA". It matches the Rfam family "Bacterial small subunit ribosomal RNA", at positions 88 to 334 of the family's 1533-position model. The record is from RNAcentral. Lineage: Bacteria; Bacillati; Actinomycetota; Actinomycetes; Actinomycetales.